This 254-nucleotide ribosomal RNA is filed under the name uncultured bacterium. RNAcentral describes it as "partial 16S ribosomal RNA". It matches the Rfam family "Bacterial small subunit ribosomal RNA", at positions 524 to 776 of the family's 1533-position model. The record is from RNAcentral.
CACGUAGGGGGCAAGCGUUGUCCGGAUUUAUUGGGCGUAAAGAGCUCGUAGGCGGCUUGGUAAGUCAGGUGUGAAACCUCCAGGCUCAACCUGGAGACGCCACUUGAUACUGCCAUAGCUAGAGUCCGGUAGGGGAGCGUGGAAUUUCUGGUGUAGCGGUGAAAUGCGCAGAUAUCAGAAGGAACACCAGCGGCGAAGGCGGCGCUCUGGGCCGGAACUGACGCUGAGGAGCGAAAGCGUGGGUAGCAAACAGG